UGGCCUGUGUCACGUGGGGGGGAGUCGAGCAAUGAGCGUUUGGGACGGUGAGCCGUCGUGGACGACGCCCCCUUCACGUAAUCCAAGAGAGAGGUUCCACCGGGUGCUUCCCAAUAGCUGCUGCCGCUAGUCUGGUGGAGCUGUGAGGAAGAGGUUCAUGGUGGGGAAAGGCUGUUGGGUGGAUUGGACUCUGACUGCAGGAGACCAGCAGAUGUCACCAAUAACCCACAGAUCAGAUCAUGAUCUUCAUCCCUGCCUGUUUUUCCUCACUGCAAUUGUUUCUCUGUAAUUCUU
Long non-coding RNA from Poeciliopsis prolifica (blackstripe livebearer), 294 nucleotides. RefSeq lists it as uncharacterized. The record is from RefSeq and is a predicted model, not a curated record. The transcript is spliced from 3 exons. Lineage: Eukaryota; Metazoa; Chordata; Actinopteri; Cyprinodontiformes; Poeciliidae.